UGGUUCAACAGGCUCUUUACAACUGAAAAGACACAAGCACAACAUCAGCAUCAUCAGGGAAACAGCUCACUUCAUGAAGCAUUAGAAGAAAAAAUGAAAAGGAAAUUGCAUUUUUUACCGAAGGUCCAUCCUCUUUGGAGUUGCAUAGCAUUGCAACCAAGAGUUUGACACCUUGCAAUAUCAAAUUUUAAGUCCCAUGCUGAAGAGGUCAAUUUUUUAAGGAAAUUUGCUUCCCAACCCCAUGUCCCCAACAGAGGGUUCCUAGGAGUUCACCUCACAACGCAGUUAAACCAUUCUUCUACUUGUCCAAAUUGGAUUAUAUUCAAUGCACAGGUAAAUCCAAGUGCAUUUUUUUGUGGGUGCUGGGAGGAUAGUGAGUCAGGCAAAUCUUCAGUAAAGCACAUAAAUCAUAACGAUACAAUACACAUAGACUUGAUAACCGCCCUGACAUAGAGAAAAGACUGCAUGGGGAAGAAGGUAGAUUGUAAAGAUGAGGAAGUUGGAGGCUGAUGGCGAAAUUGUGGCACUUUACCUUGCCUCGUUGAGGACUGCCAAA
This 556-nucleotide unclassified non-coding RNA is filed under the name Hevea brasiliensis (rubber tree). Lineage: Eukaryota; Viridiplantae; Streptophyta; Magnoliopsida; Malpighiales; Euphorbiaceae. The record is from RNAcentral.